UAGGGAAUCUUCGGCAAUGGACGAAAGUCUGACCGAGCAACGCCGCGUGAGUGAAGAAGGUUUUCGGAUCGUAAAACUCUGUUGUUAGAGAAGAACAAGGACGUUAGUAACUGAACGUCCCCUGACGGUAUCUAACCAGAAAGCCACGGCUAACUACGUGCCAGCAGCCGCGGUAAUACGUAGGUGGCAAGCGUUGUCCGGAUUUAUUGGGCGUAAAGCGUGCGCAGGCGGUUUCUUAAGUCUGAUGUGAAAGCCCCCGGCUCAACCGGGGAGGGUCAUUGGAAACUGGGAGACUAGAGUGCAGAAGAGGAGAGUGGAAUUACAUGUGUAGCGGUGAAAUGCGUAGAUAUAUGGAGGAACACCAGUGGCGAAGGCGGCUCUCUGGUCUGUAACUGACGCUGAGGCUCGAAAGCGUGGGGAGCAAACAGG
Molecule: ribosomal RNA, 429 nt
Filed under: Gemmatimonadota bacterium
Lineage: Bacteria; Pseudomonadati; Gemmatimonadota
Description: Gemmatimonadetes bacterium partial 16S ribosomal RNA
Rfam family: Bacterial small subunit ribosomal RNA
Source: RNAcentral